Meleagris gallopavo (turkey) is the source of this 8164-nucleotide non-coding RNA. NCBI's taxonomy places the organism in Eukaryota, Metazoa, Chordata, Aves, Galliformes, Phasianidae. The record is from RefSeq and is a predicted model, not a curated record.
AAUCGCGAGCGUGGCCGCGUGAGCGCGCGGAGGUGCCCUCGGAGGGGUGGGAGCCGCGGCCAACUUCGCUCCGUCCCUCUCCCCGCAGCGCUGCGAUGCGGAGCGCCACUCGGGCAUGAGCCGCCCCGCCGGGCCCUGCUCGGCCGAGACAGCGUCGGGAAGAAAGGGCCACGGAGGAAGCUCCGCGCUGCUCGGCUCGGAACCGCGGGCUGCCCACGCUCUUAUCUUUUGGACCUCUGAGGACUUUGUGAAAGCUUCCAGAUUGGUUUGCUCGAGCGUUUGCUGGGCUUCUCGGAGCACGACGCAGAUGCUAUCUCUCCUUACGACGAGGAGGAGGUAGUUUUUCUUUUUUUUCGGUCUUUGCUUUAAGACAGGACUGGGCGUUUUCAGCUCAUGUGCGUGGGAUUGUUGGGGAUUAGAAAGCAAACUCGCAACUUAUUUUUUAUUCCUAACGGCUCAAAAACUCUGGAAACAGUGCUCAGAGAGCCUUGACAACCGGGCAGAAGGCUUCUGACAGAGCCGAGCUGGCAGGUGAGGAGCAAGGUAGCAUUGUGCUCGUUAUGGGCCGUUCUCAGCAUCCUGGGCUGUUCCUGGGACCCUCUGCAGAUCCAUGACUUUGUGCAACACACUGAGACGUCGUAUCCGCGCAGGGUAGAGGCUGAGGCUUGGGUAGAGGAGCACAGCUCGCAGUGGAGACCUGAGCCCUGAGUGCGGCUGUCCCAGCACAGGUAACUGCAGUACCUCCACGUGCACCAGCGGGCAUCGCUCUGCUUUAGUUGCUCAGUGUUGUGAAAGUGUGAAAGUCUAAGCCCUCAAAGCCUUGGUUGUCUUAUGAGUCAACUCAAGCUGGGAUUUUGGUGGCAGGCUUAAAAGGAUGCUGUUGUCUGGAAAUAUCUGUCUCAUCUGGAAACUGUCGUUCAUGCUUUGGUUAGUACUGGUGCACCAGAUUGGUGUGCUCCAUACCUGGGUGUAUCUUUCUGUAUUUCUGCAAUGAAACUAUGCAUUUAGCUUCACAAGGGGGACAAAUCUCAAAGGCUGAAAUUUGCAUGGAUUAGCUGUCAUUAAUUUUCUUUAUGAAAAGUCUGUUAGGACCGUUGUAAAAAUGGGGUUCUAUUAGUUUAAGAGAAGGUAAAAGAAAUGACAAGGGUGUGGCAAGGAAAUAAAGUAGGAGCUUUAGGAAGUAUACCUAUGGCUUUGGAUUUCCUGACAGAGACAGGAGUUCUUUUUUCAUAUUUGAUCCUGGCAGUGUUUCUUUAAAAGUUGUGGGUGCGCUUCAUGUCAUCGUUUCACAUCAGUUUGUUUGAUUUACUGUUGUUUUGAUUCUCCAUCCUAGGAAAUAUUCCACUUGAUACAGAGUGCAGUGCAAAUUGCAGAGGGCCAAACACCCCACUAGCGUGGUUCCUUAGUCAGAGCAGCUGCAAGAGGAACGGAGCUGACCCAGCAUCUGUGUUCAGAACUAAUGUGAAAGAUAGUUUAAAUUUACUGAAGUUUUGGUGGGUGUUUUCACCCGCUUGCAAUUCUUUGUAGAGGAACUAAGAAUUGCAGAAACAAAGCUUGCCUUUUUUGUGGGGCUUGUGUGUGGAUUGGUGGUGUUUUGUUUGCUUAUUUCAUUUUGGAGUUUUUUUCUCCAUAAACUAAGACUGAAACUGACAAAAUUGAAGGGAUAAAACAGAUUUUCAGGCAGGCAGAUAGAACUUGCUACCUGUUCUCCACACCUUGAUACUUGCAUUUCAGGACUGGAAGGAAGAGGACAAGCCCUGUUUCUGAGCUCGUGUUGUCCCUGGCAAAGUAGUAAGUGAGGGCACUGUAAGAAGUGGAUGUAGGACAAGUGAUGAACCAUUCUCACUGUUGACAUCAUGCUGUGAUUCAUCAGUGCUCCUCUUUGGCUGUAUCCUGUACUCCAGACCUGUGUGGCCUGCCACUCAUACUGUGUGCUGUUUGUGGCUGGCUGAAGGAGGAAGAAAUUCUGCCUUAGUGUGGUAACGUGCAGCUUCUUUGUGCAGAGGGAACAUCAGAUUCUGGAGAUGGGGAAUACUAACGUGAAUCCACAAGAAUGGUAUUUGCAUAAGCUUCUGCUGUCCUCAAUAAGUAGAUCAGGGUUGAGGGGACAGAUCUAAUAUGGAAAAUAUGGAAUUCAUUUUCAGACUUUCAAGCUAGUCCCAUAGAUAGGGCUUAGGAAGAGAAGUAGUCUUAAAAGAUAUGGAAAUGUGCCUUCAAAAUGACCUUUCAAAGAUCAACAAUAUUAUUCUUUGUGUCUGUGGCAUCCAAAUUUAAUGAAAUGUAAAGCAGAAGGAGUUGGGAGGAUUUGGUCCAAGUGAAAACAGAAUGAGCGUAGGAUUGGCAGAUGGGAGGAACAUUAGCCCACUCUUUGGUGGAGUUACUGCUUCUCCUGUUGUUGCCUGCAGAAGGGACUCGACAGAAGAUAGUCAGUGGGAGGAGAGUGUAGACUGCUUGUCCUAUUUGAAUGUCACUGGAUUUUUCUGCUUGGGGAUGAAUGUCCAGUGGUCCAGUGGGUCAAGUCCUGAAUGCUGGUAUCUAAUGUACAUCCAAAGCAAGUCCAUCAACUUCGUAACAUCUGCAGUAAGGAACAAGUGGCUUUUUUUUCUGAACAGAGGGGAGGAAUGAACAGCUGUAGCUUAGGAUGCUGAAUUUCUUGGCAUACUUUUUUUUUUUGAGAUUUAUGACUCUUAUUCUCUUUUGAAAAUGUAGUGGAGCAAUUGCUGAUCCAUGCAUGUAUGCAUGAGAAAAUGCCAGUGGAGGAGUAAUACAUAUGGAAAUCUGUCAUAGAGAUAUGACAAACUGGCCACCUGCUCUUAGAUGAUGAAAUAAUUUACAAAAAUAUCUGCUGGAGUAAUGACUGAGGGAAGAGGUGGGGGCAGGUUUGAGGGAAGUUAGCAAUAUUUAUCUAUUUGAGUAGUUUGCUGUAGUACUUACUGCUGACCCUCUUGCCAGCUUUACUGCUUCAGAAACAAGUGGUAGUUAAUGCAGUAGCAGGUGCAUAGGGCUUCAUCAGAGGGAGCAGUCCAUUGGACAGAGCUAGCAGAAGAGAUGGGAAACCUGUCUCCCAGUGUUUUCUCUGUCACAGACUGCCUUUGUAUUGAUAGAGUAAGAUCUGAAAUUCUUGCAGCUAAAUACCUGUGACUGUGCAUCUGCCUCUCAUUAAGUUUGCUGCUUGAUGCAGUGACUGGUGUUAAGCUUCUGAAAACCAAGCAUUUACUCCAAGUUUUCAUAGUCUACAGCAAAAAAAAAAAAAGUUAGAACUGGGUCAGCUUGCAGCCAGUUUCCCAUAAACCUGCUCCCUGGGUAUUGGUUAACCUUGCUAAGUGUGUCCUAGGGUCAAAUCUAUUGCUUUUGUAUGUGAAAGUAAGUCUUGGUUUGCAUUGUGAUUUACUGGAGUGUAAAUAAAGCAAGAUCUUUCACUUAGAAGCUCACUCAUCGGCAUAUAUUAGUAACACUCAUCAGUUUCUGACUGGAACUGUGAUGGCAUAAUUACUGUAAAAGGGUAACACAUUCAGAACUACCUGUGUGACUUUGGGAGUUGAUUCCUGAGAGGCUUAGUCAUUAUUUUAAAUAGGAGUCAGCUUUCUAAGCUACACAUAUUCCUGAAAGUUUUAAGAAAGGACUUCUGUUAUCAUGUUUUUAAAAUGUCAAUUUCUAGGACAGGUAUGGCAGCUCUUCCACUCUACUUACUUCAGAUAUUAACUGAGGAGGUUGAAGAAAGAUUAGAAAAACACUGUGGGAAAGUAGAUUCUCAUGGGUAAUCAAUCUUACUAGAGAAAUCCAAGUUGUGAAAAUGUCUAUUCUUCCAUCACCUGACAGCAGGAUGGAUAUGCACGUAUAUAUUUUCUGCUGUGUCGAUUAGGAAUGUGAGGAGGAUGGCAGAUACCUUGGCCAUGGCUGUAGACAGAGUAAACCAUGUGUUUCUUGAGACACUGUUUGGGGCACUGAAUUCAAACUGCAUGUGAUUGGAGCAGUUUGAGUCACCAGGCCAAACACAGUUAUCAGAAGAAACAGAUAAACUAAGAAAAUAGUCUUCUGUACUCUGGCAUAUGUGUUUGCAUAGUUAAGACUUUAAGAUUGAAGGCAAAUUAGGUUUCUUUUUAGCAGUGGUAGAUUACUUUUAGUACUUGUGGUGCAAUUUUUUAAAGUAUUCCUGGAACGUUAAUAAUGUAAAGCAUCUUUAUUUUGCAACAUACCUAUGGGAUGGACACCUACUACUUAUCUUGCUUCUACAGCUAGGGAACUGAAGUGUUCAAUAAAGCAAGACACUGCACACGGAAUUGUGCAAGGAGGACUGCAGCAGGACAGGCAGGAGGGCACUGAGACUGCCUCUCAAUACUAGUGAAAACCAUCAAGCUCUGCUCCGUAGUCUAUCCAUUAGAUUCUUCCUCAAUGCUUCUAAGUUCUUUUAGUUUAUUUCCUCACCUGGAAAAGGUGAGAUUGGGCUCUUCCAAGGAGGAAAUGUCAAGCCUGGUGAGGAGGGGACAAGACAGAUUCAUGAUGAUGUAAGUCUGAGGAAAGGUGAGGAAUAUCCUCUAGCUAGAUAUGCUGCCAUUGCUUCUUUAGCAAACCUGGCUUCCCUGAUGCUGGCACAUCACAGCUAUUGAAACUCUUUUCCUCUGGGCAAAUACCUGCUUUUCCUGGGCCCAGAGCCAACUCUGCUGAUGUCCCAUUUAGGAUAGAGCUGAUGUAAGUGGCUGGACUGGUCACAGAGCCUUCUGCCCAGUCGCUGGCUCCAGAGCUUCUGCCACUGUGCCAUGUCCUUGGACUCUCUGGCUGCCUUCUUUCUGACUUGGCCUUGCGAGGGGCACCAAAGUGUUUUGUUUGGGGAAAAGAAACUUGUAAAGUUGGCAGAAGGAAUUCUAUUUUAGGGGAGUUGCAUGGUGAACAGUAACAAUGAGUUUUAUUUCUCAGAAUGUAUCUACAUUUAUAGGUUGCUAUAUUUAAAAAGAAGAAAAAAAAAUGAGUCAUGGGGAGCUAUGCUAAUGCUUUUGUGAGGCUGAAGGCAACAGGAGUUAAGUAACAGUUUUGUGAAACAUCUAGAGGAUUUAUGGAGCAAGCUGAAGUCAGCUGUAAGCCAUGCAGUGCUUUGUUCAGGGCCCCUCUUUGUACUUGGUGCUGGUUACAGUGAAGUGCUCUCCUAGAACCCUGGAAGUGCUCAGUGCUGUCAGCUUCCCUGCCCUUGAAUGUGAGUUGCAGAGCUGGGGCUGGAGCUACUGAGCUGCUCCUCCAAUGGAAAGUCACAGUGACAGUCAGUGGUGGCAUGUCUCUGUGUGUCUCAGGCCACACUAAGCUAGUAGCAAAUAACCAUUAAAGUGAAAUCUUCCAAUUUAGUAGGCUUUUUGCUUCACUUUUUAAAAAUCUGUCAUAUCAGUUCCCAAAUGUUUAAGUUUCUUGCAGUACUUUUAAGAAGAGUUAAAGCUUUUGAAUAGGCAUCUGUUAUUUGCAUUGCUGGAAGCAGUGGUGAAUCUGAUAAGCAGUAGCUGAAUAAAGGCCCAUCCAAGCCAACUUAAAAGAAUGUUAAUGCACACUGGUGCAGUGGGAACCCUAUUUUUUUUUUUAAUUGUCCUUCCCACUUCAAGGACUACCAAAGCACCCACUGCUACUGUCUCUAGGCACCCACAGAUGCUAAAAGUAUUUAGGGACUUUAUGAUUACACGUUGUGAGUCUGUGAUAAAAGCUCCUUUAGCAGUUGGUUGCUGUGGCACAGAAAGUCUCUAUAAAGGUAGAUAAUGGGGGGGGAAAAAAAGUGACUGGAUCCAGAUGGAAUUUAAGCUUAGGCAUUCUUAUCGGUCUGUCAUCUUUACUUAACAUAUCCUAAUAACUCACAAGCGGUCUUCAUAGGCAGCUGGUAAUUCAGUAAAGAUUGUGAUUUUCAGAAAACAUACAACUGAUGUCUUGUGUCAUGCUUGGUAUGGAUGUACUAACGCUACCAGUGUAAGUAUAAGACUUGCCGGGUGGGGAACAUCUACGUAUAAAGUAUGACUGCUGUGGAAGGUGCUUCAGUAGUAAGUGCUCAAUCCCAGGAAUAGUCAUUAAGAACCUGUGAUUGACCAGAGAGGGGAAAUCAUCACAGGAAUCCCUUUGGCUCAGGAAUGGUUGCUGCAAAGCUGCAGGCUGAAAGUUGGUUUGAUGGCUGCUGGCUUUAAGUGGAAACAAGUUCACAGUGUAGAGGUGAGGCAGAUAUGCCCCAGUGCUCUGGGAAAACCCCAAGCUGUAGAAAAUUGCUUUUGUGCAACAGCAGAGCAACUUUACUGCUGAGAUUUUUAGCUCUCACAGUUAGGUACCUCUGUAACCACGUAUCUGUAUCUGAUCUAAUCACCUUUGGAAAGCAUAACAGGUAUCACCUGAGCCCAUCCUGUGCACACCGUGCUUCGCUUUCUCCUGGUUGGUAGCUGGUGAGGAAUUGUAGUGUGAGAUUAAGGCUCUGCAGAGCCACAGUUAUGAGGUAGACUUGGAUGGUACUUGCCGUUCUCCCAUCAGAAAAUACUUUGUAGUGCAGGGGCAGAAUGCUGGGAGGGGCUCGUUUCUUUCAUGUGCUGUGGAUGCUCUUAAAUUUAAUCUGCCAACAGGCAUCAGUGCAGACACGAGGAGCUGAACAGACCAUUUGCUUUUCAGGAGUUUGGUGUGGUCUGAGAAGAUGCAAGGCAGAGCCCUUCACCUGAACCUCCAGUAUCAUUUCCUUUGUGCUCCACAUGGCACAGAUGCUGGUAUGGUGCUGCAGCACCUCUGCUCUGCAGGAACAUUUUGUUUUGAAAUUACCUCUUGAAUGUUAAGGCCAUCAUCAGAAGUUUGGCUUUGACUGAAUGCAUGUGAAAUGUGCAAAGUCUCUCCUGUUAAUCAGUGAGAUGUGCUCAGGGGAUGUGUAAUUUUUUCUUUUUUUUUUUUUUACAGUAUAGCAAGUCUAUCUAAUUAAGCAUCUGGGAUUUGAAUUAUUAGAUAACAGAACAGUCUCAAUCUACUUCUGUGUUAGUAAAGAUCUCCAGCAACCCAUUUUUUUUUUUUCCCUUGGAUUUUUCAAUUACAGACUUCAGAAACUCUUUGAACCUCAGGAGGGUGACUUAUUGGGUCCAGAAGAGCUGAGUAAUACAAUUCUUUUUCUAAGGCCCCCCGAGCACAGCAAGUCACUCUCUGUUGUUUACAUAGCAGCCUCGCAAGGGUAUGGGAAUAAGCGUUAAGUUGUCAAAGCAAAGGAGAAAAAUCACAUUUUCGGGUGUAGGCUGUAUGGAAGCAUGUGUUUGGAUUUGUGCUGUGUCAGAAUAAAUCCUUUUGCUGCGCAAAACACUGGGAGCAGCUCUCUGGCUCAGAGGUCAGAUUGCCUCAUCUGUUUCUGGAUUGGGAGGGGAAAGUAGCAAUAUUGGGAGUUGGUGUGGGCUUGGGAAGGUUGGUGAAGAGGUGGAAGGGUGUAGCUUGAGAGGUGGGAAGGGACAAGGCUGAACCAACGUGGCAGAGGGCUCCUGAGCACCAGCAGUGGGUGGAGGUCUGCUGCUUUAGACAGUGCACCCCAAGCACUGCUGACCCCAGGCUGACCGAUGCACUUCAAAAGCUUUGUGCAUUAUGGGCGGGGGGGACACAGUGGGUGGAACUGAUGACCCAAAAUAAAAUUUCCCCUUCCUAAGACUGGGUGUGUACCAAGCUGGUGUGGUAAAAGAGUAUGAACCAAAAAUGCUGAGAGAUGCAGUGGUUAAACUGAAACAUGCUGUGGCAGGAUGAAAGUAAUCGUGUCCCUUACCAGCCCUUAAACGCUUUGGAGCUUUUUUUUUUUUCCAAGUGGCUGCAAUCCAUGCUGCCUCUAUCUAGGCUUCUCUGCUUUUAGUAGAAUUUUAUAUGCAGAAACAUACCAAGACACCAACAGGGCAACCCAUCUUGUGUUACGUUAUAGCUCACAGGGUCAAGAUAAAAUGUAAGGAUACCUCCAGUUAUCUUUCUGUUCAAGUUUUGGUUUUGUCCUGUAUUUACUUAUUCUUUUUUUCUCCAGUCUCUUUGAAUGUACCAAAGCAUAUGAGAAGGACCCCUGUGUGGAAUGAGUGACUCUUAGGGAGAAUCCUGCAGCUCUAGAAGGGCCAAAACCCAAUCUCAUUCUGUCUGUGAGCCUGAUAUUUAAAACAUGACGUACUUGAGCUGCCAAGGCUAAGGCUGGCAUUCUCUUGCCUUGGUGUUUAAA